MicroRNA precursor from Oryza sativa Japonica Group (Japanese rice), 210 nucleotides. It matches the Rfam family "MIR812 microRNA precursor family". The record is from Rfam. Lineage: Eukaryota; Viridiplantae; Streptophyta; Magnoliopsida; Poales; Poaceae.
UUUAAGUGCAGUUUUGAGUUUUUUCGUCCAACAUUUGAUUGUCCUUCUUAUUUGAAAGUUUUUUUUUAUUAUUAGUACUUUUAUUGAUAUUAGAUGAUAAAACAUGAAUAUUACUUUAUGCAUGACUUAUUUUUUUAAUUUUUUUAUAUUUUUUUUAAAAUAAGACAAACAGUUAAAUAUUGGAUAUCGAAACUCAUAACUACACUUAAA